This 517-nucleotide ribosomal RNA is filed under the name uncultured Glomus. Its description in RNAcentral is "SSU rRNA". It matches the Rfam family "Eukaryotic small subunit ribosomal RNA", at positions 569 to 1088 of the family's 1831-position model. Lineage: Eukaryota; Fungi; Glomeromycota; Glomeromycetes; Glomerales; Glomeraceae. The record is from RNAcentral.
AGCAGCCGCGGUAAUUCCAGCUCCAAUAGCGUAUAUUAAAGUUGUUGCAGUUAAAAAGCUCGUAGUUAAAUUUCGGGAUCAAUUAAUUGGUCGUGCCUCUGGUACGUACUGAUUUUAUUGGUUUCUCCCUUCUGACGAACCAUGAUGUCAUUAAUUUGGUGUCGUGAAGAAUCAGGACUGUUACUUUGAAAAAUUAGAGUGUUUAAAGCAAGCUAACGCUUGAAUACAUUAGCAUGGAAUAAUGAAAUAGGACGUUUGAUCCUAUUUUGUUGGUUUCUAGGAUCGACGUAAUGAUUAAUAGGGAUAGUUGGGGGCAUUAGUAUUCAAUUGUCAGAGGUGAAAUUCUUGGAUUUAUUGAAGACUAACUACUGCGAAAGCAUUUGCCAAGGAUGUUUUCAUUAAUCAAGAACGAAAGUUAGGGGAUCGAAGACGAUCAGAUACCGUCGUAGUCUUAACCAUAAACUAUGCCGGCUAGGGAUCGGAUAAUGUUAAUUUUUAAUGUACUCAUUCGGCGCCU